CAGUGGCAAAAAGGACUCAAGUCAGCUUGGAAAACAAAUGCACAGAUCAAGUCAGAAACCAAGACUGAGGCAUAAGUCAACCGCAGCCAGGUAUUUCAAAAGUCUCAGCUACCAUCGUGGAUCAUUCCGGACUUCCGCCGGUGUCAGCCUAGCUGGUCGACCAGUGUCCCCUCUCGCCCCCUGCCAAACAGUUCUCUACUGGGCAGCCGGACCGGAGCCUGAUUUCUUCUACAAUUCACAGCAAACCUUGGAAAAUGAACUUUGUCACAGAGCCAAAACAAGUAUUCUCUUGACUGGAAAGACUCAACUUUAGAAAGAUAUCACUUUCUUUAAAGCAAAUUCAAAUGUGCUUGAAUAAUUGUGGGAAAAAUAAUAGUGUGGUUUCCCUACAAUCAUUCUUACAUUAAAUGCUGUACAUCAAAAUCAAAAUUAUUUUUAUGCAUGAUGGGCAGUUUCCCACUAACAAUUUUCUAAAUUGCCUAAUAAUUUUAUGUAGCAUAAUUACAAGACUCCUGCUUGUGUAUUUUUCCUUCUCUUUGCUUUCAUCUGAAUACGAAUUAAGAGUAAUCACUAGCGAACCUUUAUGGUAGAUGUUUACAAUGUAAUGCUGCAACAGAGCUCUAUAAAAGGAACCUAAUAGGAAAGCCCUCGAAAUACUUCCUCCAUUAACAAUAGGGCAUGCAACUGUAAGAAGGAAAAUUUCCAGAGUAAGUGAUUUUCUGAAUAAAAAUGGGUGAAUAUGUGAAGGCAGAUUGAUUGUUCAGUAAUCACUUUCAUGUCUAAAACUCUGUUGAACAUCUCCCACCUUAUGAUCCACCAUUAAAUGCAAAUCAACAUUUGUAAAUCCAAAAUCCCUAUGAAUGUUUCCCACUGUGAUAGGUUUUUUUGUCAAUUUGGCUAGGCCACAGUGCCUAGUUGUUUGGUCUAACACUAGUCUGCAUGUUUCUGUGAAGGUCUUUUGUUGAUGUGAUUAAUGUUUAGCAGUUGACUUAAAUAAAGGAGAUUAACCUUGAUAAUGUGGGUGGGCCUCAGUCCAAUCAGGUGAAGGCCUUAAGAGCAAAAACUGGUUUUCCCAAAAGAAGGAAUUCUGCCUCAAGACUGUAACACAGAGCGCCUGCCUGAAUUUCCAGCCUACUGGAUCGCUGUAUAGAUUUUGGACUUGUCAGCCCCCACAAGCACAUGAACUAAUUUCAUAAAACAAAUCUCUCUCUCUCUACACACACACACACACACACACACACACACACACACACACACACACCCUUUUGGUUCUGUUUUUCUGGAGAACCCUGAUUGUUAAAUCCACAUUUUAUGCCUUCUUCUCUUUAUGAUUUUGGCCAUAUCUAUUUAUUAAUAAUAUGGUGUCUUUCCUUUAGUUGCAAUUAAAGUAACUCCCUAUAUUUAUUUGCCUACUGGUAAGAAAUAUAACCAUAAAUUCAUAAAUUUGAGGUGUUAUUUUUUCCUAUAACAUAUUAACACACAACUAUUAACAUUUUAAAAAUGGUCAUUUAAGCAUAACAUAUACAGUUGUUGAAUCACUAUGUUGUACACCCGAAAUGAAUGUUACAUUGUAUGUCAGCUGUAUUUCAACUAAAAAAAAAAGGUCGUUCACAUGAACUCUAAAAUCACACUGGGGGUUCCUGUACCACUCUAGGGACCCAUAGCCUGGAUUCACUUCUCUUCUUGAUUUCAUUUUGAUUAAUAAAUUUCUCCCUAUUAUGUGGAAAUGGAACUAUGAACUCUAUUUUACUUCUCUAUUUAUUUCUUUGUGACACAUAUUUAACUUCCUUUUUAUUGCUAUCCCACUAGAAUUUAAGUCUUUAUGACAUAAAACCUAUAAUAUGGAAUUUCUGAUAGUCCAAGGACCUACUUUUAAUUCCCUCUAUUCAUAUUACCCAAAUAUCUACCUAGCCAAACAAGGAUCAGAACCCAAAAAUACAAAGAGAAAUCACCUUUUUCUUGCCCUGGAACGUCUUACAAUUUAGUGAAGGAUUCAUCCCCAGUUAUUCAUUUGAAACUCGGAGGAAAUGCUUGGUGGCUGAGAACUUAAGAGAGAUGCGGGAGUUUCUUUAUAAAGGAUGCUCUGUCUAAAGACUAGGGAAGAAUUUCCUAGAGGAACAACCAGUGAAGAGUGGAACAAAUACAUAUCAGUUGGUCUGGACCCUCAUGGCUGAUGAUCCCCUUCCUGGAUAUCUGAGGACAACAGAGGUUCAGAGAUAUGCCCAAAGUUACUCAGUUUGAGUCCUGCUCAUUCCAGUUGUACUAAUUACAUUUCUGAUCACAGCUUCCUCAGCCUCCUUUCCUCCUAAGAGCUUGUUUUGAAUUGAGAGAAUAAUCAAACAGAUUUCAUUUGAUAAAUCAUUUCUCAAUCCAUCCCCUUUUCCUCCUUCCAUCUUCCCUUCUCUCUUUCCAUCUCCCCCACCUCUACCUUCCCUUCCCCUUGUAAAUAUUGCAUACCAGACACUUAUCUGAUCACUGGCCUUCAGAGAUUAAGCAGGGUCUACUCCCAAAUCUCGCUAAUCUAUCUUCCUCCCGUGUGCAAGGGGGAACUCACUUCCUUCCACGAUGCUCAGCUCAGCUCAGCUGUCUCACCACGCCUGCAGGUGUCCCCUGAUGCCUCUUCUUUCCAAUCAUGCCUCUAAAGCAUACUGCAACUUUUCGGCCCAUGUAAACCAAACUAUCAAAGCCCUCAAAAUGUCAGCUUUCUGUUGCUUAUCAGUUAUAAAGGUUUUUUUUUCCUUCUUGUCUUUCCACUUGAAUCAAGUUUUGUGAUUCUCAAUAUGGACAUGUGCACAUCCUCUUAUCUAUUAUUGCAUUCUAAAUGUACACAUUGAGGACCAUUUCAUAAUGGAAGUAUUGAUAAUGAAGACCACAAGAGUCGAGAGAUACAUGCUACAACAGGAGUGAAACUUGAAGCAUUAUGGUAAGUGAGAGAAGCCAGACAGAAAAAGGCUACAGAUUACAUAAGUCGAUUUAUGUGGAAUGUUCAGGAAAGGCAAAUGUACAAACAGAAAAUAGAUCAGUGGUUGCUAGGGCUUUAAGAAGAGGGAAAUAGAAAGUAAUUACUGAUGGGUAUGGGGUUUUUUGGGUGAGGAGGCAAAAAAUGUUUUGCAGUUAGGUAGUUUUGAGGUUUGUGGCGUUUUAGCAACAUACUAAAACCACUGAUACUUUGCAUACUGUCAAAGGGUUAACUUUGUGGUAAAUGAAUUACAUCUCAGUAAGAAGAAAAAGAGUUGAUGGCUGUAUUUCUGGAAGUUAAAAUAUUGUUUCACCCAUUCUAAAAUAAUAUUUUGCAUGUAUUAGCUCUAUGGAAUUAGCUUCCUAACAGGUGAGUGUGACCGUUUUCUCUCUUAGUGAUUGUUGGGCUUAAUGUAGAGCAUGAAAUCAUCUGUAAUACCUGGCUUGCUAAAAUGUAACCCGGAGGCCACCAAGGGCAAGGGAAGGUUUCAGAGAAGGACGAAGGCCUUUGGAAUGCCACGGGGAGUUGCCUUCCCCCAAGCUUUCUUAGCUGGCACAGCCACCUUGUGAUCUAAGAGAUGUAUGCAUUGUCCCCUAGGCUAUGUGUAGCUGAACUCCUAAACUGUGCAGAUUAGCAUAUCGUAUCUUUCCUGUAAACAGAUCCUCCCAGUUCCAGUAAGACCCCUUAUCACACAUCACGUGCUGGAGAAACAGUGAUAAGGAUUUGUCAUUAUCCUGAAGGACCAAUAAAAGCUGGAGCAAAGAAGAGCAAAGGGUCUUUGUCUCGGAGUUGACCUUCUUGCCUUCUCUCUUUCACAGCAAAGUUUGGAGUAAUCUUUUUAUCUGUUGGUACAGGGAUUGCUUGCAAUUUGGUAGCUUUGAUGCUUGCGGCAUCUUAGGAACAUACUAAAACCACCCAUACUUUGUAUACUUUCAAAGGGUUAACUUUGUGGUAAGUGAAUUAAAUCUCGAGAAGAAGAAAAAGAGUUCAUGGCUAUAUUUCUGAAAAUUAGAAUAUUGUUUCACCCAUUCUAAAAUAAUAUUUUGCAUGUAUUAGCACUAUGGAAUUAGUUUCCUAAUAGGUGAGUGUGACCAUUUUCUCUCAGUGAUAAAUAAAAUAAUACUGUGUCAUAAAAUUGACUGCAUCAUCGAGUCAAUGAAAUACAGUAUAGUUUUGAUUUUAGCUACCACUUGAUUCAAAGAAACUAUUGAAAAUCUGUAUUUCACACAACUUUCACUGGAAAUAAAUUCAUUGUUGGCUUCUCACUUCAAAUAUUUAAACCAAAUCUACUCAGCAAAUCAUCAGUUUGUGUUUGGUUAAGAUGAGGACCAUUGCGGAUCUUUUAAUGGCCAUGGAUUCUUAAGCACUCUUCUCACUAGGAACUGGGCUUUA
Molecule: long non-coding RNA, 4351 nt
Organism: Ailuropoda melanoleuca (giant panda)
Lineage: Eukaryota; Metazoa; Chordata; Mammalia; Carnivora; Ursidae
Exons: 3
Source: RefSeq, a predicted model, not a curated record